UGUCAAUUGGGUGGACCGCAUGUG
This 24-nucleotide non-coding RNA is filed under the name Arabidopsis thaliana (thale cress). Lineage: Eukaryota; Viridiplantae; Streptophyta; Magnoliopsida; Brassicales; Brassicaceae. The record is from RNAcentral.